This 497-nucleotide ribosomal RNA is filed under the name uncultured bacterium. Its description in RNAcentral is "partial 16S ribosomal RNA". It matches the Rfam family "Bacterial small subunit ribosomal RNA", at positions 28 to 507 of the family's 1533-position model. The record is from RNAcentral.
GAUGAACGCUGGCGGCGUGCCUAAUACAUGCAAGUCGAGCGAACGGACGAGAAGCUUGCUUCUCUGAUGUUAGCGGCGGACGGGUGAGUAACACGUGGAUAACCUACCUAUAAGACUGGGAUAACUUCGGGAAACCGUAGCUAAUACCGGAUAAUAUUUUGAACCGCAUGGUUCAAAAGUGAAAGACGGUCUUGCUGUCACUUAUAGAUGGAUCCGCGCUGCAUUAGCUAGUUGGUAAGGUAACGGCUUACCAAGGCAACGAUGCAUAGCCGACCUGAGAGGGUGAUCGGCCCCACUGGAACUGAGACACGGUCCAGACUCCUACGGGAGGCAGCAGUAGGGAAUCUUCCGCAAUGGGCGAAAGCCUGACGGAGCAACGCCGCGUGAGUGAUGAAGGUCUUCGGAUCGUAAAACUCUGUUAUUAGGGAAGAACAUAUGUGUAAGUAACUGUGCACAUCUUGACGGUACCUAAUCAGAAAGCCACGGCUAACUACGUG